Molecule: small RNA, 61 nt
Filed under: Staphylococcus aureus
Lineage: Bacteria; Bacillati; Bacillota; Bacilli; Caryophanales; Staphylococcaceae
Description: HMPRFS0000_2551
Source: RNAcentral
UCAACAUAAUAACGGUGACAUCAUUUCUUUUUACAUCAUAUUGUUGUAGAUUGAUUGAAAC